GGAAAGGCCCUUCGGGGUACUCGAGCGGCGAACGGGUGAGUAACACGUGAGCAACCUGCCCUAGGCUUUGGGAUAACCCUCGGAAACGGGGGCUAAUACCGGAUACAACCUUUGGUCGCAUGACUGGGGGUGGAAAGUUUUUCGGCCUGGGAUGGGCUCGCGGCCUAUCAGCUUGUUGGUGGGGUGAUGGCCUACCAAGGCGACGACGGGUAGCCGGCCUGAGAGGGCGACCGGCCACACUGGGACUGAGACACGGCCCAGACUCCUACGGGAGGCAGCAGUGGGGAAUAUUGCACAAUGGGCGGAAGCCUGAUGCAGCGACGCCGCGUGAGGGAUGACGGCCUUCGGGUUGUAAACCUCUUUCAGCAGGGACGAAGCGCAAGUGACGGUACCUGCAGAAGAAGCGCCGGCCAACUACGUGCCAGCAGCCGCGGUAAGACGUAGGGCGCGAGCGUUGUCCGGAUUUAUUGGGCGUAAAGAGCUCGUAGGCGGCUUGUCGCGUCGACCGUGAAAACUUGGGGCUCAACCCCAAGCCUGCGGUCGAUACGGGCAGGCUAGAGUUCGGUAGGGGAGACUGGAAUUCCUGGUGUAGCGGUGAAAUGCGCAGAUAUCAGGAGGAACACCGGUGGCGAAGGCGGGUCUCUGGGCCGAUACUGACGCUGAGGAGCGAAAGCGUGGGGAGCGAACAGGAUUAGAUACCCUGGUAGUCCACGCUGUAAACGUUGGGCGCUAGGUGUGGGGGGCCUCUCCGGUUCUCUGUGCCGCAGCUA
RNAcentral lists this ribosomal RNA (770 nucleotides) under Micromonospora sp. 8-91. RNAcentral's name for it is "bacterial SSU rRNA". It matches the Rfam family "Bacterial small subunit ribosomal RNA", at positions 68 to 854 of the family's 1533-position model. The record is from RNAcentral. Lineage: Bacteria; Bacillati; Actinomycetota; Actinomycetes; Micromonosporales; Micromonosporaceae.